This 1237-nucleotide long non-coding RNA is filed under the name Triticum aestivum (bread wheat). Its description in RNAcentral is "long non-coding RNA (TAES_LNC018995)". Lineage: Eukaryota; Viridiplantae; Streptophyta; Magnoliopsida; Poales; Poaceae. The record is from RNAcentral.
UUCUUUCUUUCUUCCUUUUGUUGCAAACCUGAAAAGAAAGUGCAAUGUGAACCUGGAAGGUGCAUGUACUGCUGCUACUUUCGUGUGCCAACUGCUAUACUAGUUGGUUUGUGAUGAUCCAAACAAGUUGACAACAGUAGUACUGUUGGCAGUUGGUGUUUAAUUUCAUUGCUGCCAUGGUAUUUAUUCUUUCAACAUGUCAUGUAUAUGCUUGGUUCCCUGAUGGGUGCACUUUCUAACAUGCGCAGGUGCAAGACAGAGACACGCCACCAUGCAAUGUUUCUUCUUCCACUCGCAGGCCUCCCACUCCAGUAACUCUUUUUCUGUUCUAGCAUAGCAUAGCUGGUAAGCAACCGCUCCUCUCUUUUGCUCUCUCUUGCUCUAUUAUCUUGCUCUGCAUGUGUCCAUGACCACACACCCCUUCUGCUAAGUUAUGUUCUGGCCAUGGUGAUUUCUGUCUAGUGCUUAUGAUGCUUUGGACUUGUAGUUUAGUGAUGCCAAGUGUUGCAUUGAUAAUAUUUGAUCAAAACCACCCAAUUAAGUUGAACAAUUGAAGAGAGCCUGCUAAAGUUUUUUGCACGACUUGCACUUGAGCCAUGCAUAUUCAUAUUAUGUAUCUCUUUUCUUGUAUGUAUGGGUAUCUCAUUUUAACUAGUUGGAGGACAAAAAGCAUGGCACUAGCUCAAUUUGUGUUAUCAUUCUAAAUAAAUGUCAUUUUCUUGAAUGGUCGGUUCAAUAUAUUUGCCCCAAUUUUUCUUAUUCUUCUCUCAUUCAUGUAACAGGGUGACAGAGGAAGCCAUGUUGAAGUUUUGUUUGUUGCCAGCCCUGACUUCGGUCGUCCAGCGAGUCUGGCAUGUUGUUCAUCUGACUACGGUCGUCCAACUAGUCUGUCAUGUUGUUCAUCUAACUACAGUCGUCCAACGAGUCUGGCAUGUUGUCAUUUUCUUGUAAAGCAGUACUGUAUUACACUUGUAGAGCUCGUUAGUACACUUGUAGAUCUUGAAAGGACUGCAUUACACAUGGUCAUGUAUUGGCACGUAUAGAGCUUGUUAUUGUGAUUGCCAUUGUAUUAUGUGAUCUGGUUGCUCUUAUUUGAAGUUUAUGUGUGCUUUUUGUCUGGCAAUUUAAAUACUGGUUGAAAUAUGAAGAAUAUGAGCCUGAUCGAUGGGACCCACUUACCAGAACAUGAAAAAUGGGACCCAGUUACAAGAACAUGACAAUUGGGACCCAUCUGGAC